CCUACGGGUGGCAGCAGUGGGGAAUAUUGCACAAUGGGGGAAACCCUGAUGCAGCGACGCCGCGUGAGUGAAGAAGUAAUUCGUUAUGUAAAGCUCUAUCAGCAGGGAAGAAAAUUACGGUACCUGAGUAAUAAGCCCCGGCUAACUCCGUGCCAGCAGCCGCGGUAAUACGGAGGGGGCAAGCGUUAUCCGGAUUUACUGGGUGGAAAGGGAGCGUAGACGGCAGUGCAAGUCUGGAGUGAAAGGCGGGGGCUCAACCCCCGGACUGCGCUGGAAACUGUACGGCUGGAGUGCAGGAGAGGUAAGUGGAAUUCCUAGUGUAGCGGUGAAAUGCGUAGAUAUUAGGAGGAACACCAGUGGCGAAGGCGGCUUACUGGACUGUAACUGACGUUGAGGCUCGAAAGCGUGGGGAGCAAACAGGAUUAGAUACCCGGGUAGUC
This 440-nucleotide ribosomal RNA is filed under the name uncultured bacterium. Its description in RNAcentral is "partial 16S ribosomal RNA". It matches the Rfam family "Bacterial small subunit ribosomal RNA", at positions 338 to 795 of the family's 1533-position model. The record is from RNAcentral.